Molecule: transfer RNA, 82 nt
Filed under: Suillus subaureus
Lineage: Eukaryota; Fungi; Basidiomycota; Agaricomycetes; Boletales; Suillaceae
Description: tRNA-Leu
Source: RNAcentral
CUGGUCUUAGCCAAGUGGUUUCUGCAACAGAAUCAAAAUCUGUUUCUCUUCGACUGCGCAGGUUCGAAACCUGCUGAAUGAG